This 253-nucleotide ribosomal RNA is filed under the name uncultured bacterium. RNAcentral's name for it is "partial 16S ribosomal RNA". It matches the Rfam family "Bacterial small subunit ribosomal RNA", at positions 524 to 776 of the family's 1533-position model. The record is from RNAcentral.
UACGGAGGAUCCAAGCGUUAUCCGGAUUUAUUGGGUUUAAAGGGUGCGUAGGCGGCUUGUUAAGUCAGGGGUGAAAGACGGUAGCUCAACUAUCGCAGUGCCCUUGAUACUGAUGGGCUUGAAUACACUAGAGGUAGGCGGAAUGUGACAAGUAGCGGUGAAAUGCAUAGAUAUGUCACAGAACACCGAUUGCGAAGGCAGCUUACUAUGGUGUCAUUGACGCUGAGGCACGAAAGCGUGGGGAUCAAACAGG